Long non-coding RNA from Gorilla gorilla gorilla (western lowland gorilla), 709 nucleotides. RefSeq lists it as uncharacterized. The record is from RefSeq and is a predicted model, not a curated record. The transcript is spliced from 4 exons. NCBI's taxonomy places the organism in Eukaryota, Metazoa, Chordata, Mammalia, Primates, Hominidae.
GAAACCGAGGACAGAUCUUGCAAUAAGAACCCCCGACCCCCAACCCAGCGGAGAGGAGACCAGGGGGCCCUCACCUGGCGCUGAAGGACGAGGGGAGGACUACGGGUCCCACCUGACUCUGCACCUCGGCAGGCUCCCUCUGAAGGACAACUGCUGGCCCCCCAGGGCCUCAGGUGGAAGGCGUCGGGAAGUGGAGCAGAUAGGGUCUCACAGUGUUGCUCAAGCUGAUGUUGAACUGUUGGAAUCAAGAGAUCCUCCUGCCCCAGUCUCCCUAGUAGCUGGGACUACAAGUGUGUGCCACCGCACCUGCCACCCUCCUCACUGUUUGGGCCCCAUGUGAGGACUCACCUCGGGAAGAGCUCCUGUGGCUAUGUGAGUCAAGGAUGGAACGAUGUUCCCAGAACAUCCCAGGAGGGUGUGACAGCCUCCAUCUAGAAGGUUCUAUCCUCAGGUCCCCAAGGCAUCUGCAGCACACCGUCCUCUGCUGUGGGUCUGUGAAGCAGGCACUCCAGCAGCGGGUGUCCCUAUCAUUGGCGUUCUCAGUCAUCUCUCUCCCCACUGACCCCCUUCCGUUCCUGUCCCUGUGGUCACCCGCCCAGCUAUGGACCUUCGCGCCUAACUAUGUGUCCCUCCAUACAUCACCUAUCCCCCACUCACCUGUCUAUACUCCAUCCCCCGUGUAGCCAGGAAUCCAUCCAGCACCCCCUCA